AGUAGCGAACGGGCGAGUAACGCGUGGGUAACCUGCCUUAUAGCGGGGGAUAACUAUUGGAAACGAUAGCUAAUACCGCAUAACAAUAGAGAUUGCAUAAUCUUUAUUUGAAAGUGCCAACUGGUACACUAUGAGAUGGACCCGCGUUGUAUUAGCUAGUUGGUAGUGUAAUGGACUAUCAAGGCGAUGAUACAUAGCCGACCUGAGAGGGUGAUCGGCCACAUUGGGACUGAGACACGGCCCAAACUCCUACGGGAGGCAGCAGUAGGGAAUCUUCGGCAAUGGACGAAAGUCUGACCGAGCAACGCCGCGUGAGUGAUGAAGGCCUUCGGGUCGUAAAGCUCUUUGAUCAGGGAUGAUAAUGACAGUACCUGAAAAACAAGCCACGGCUAACUACGUGCCAGCAGCCGCGGUAAUACGUAGGUGGCGAGCGUUGUCCGGAAUUACUGGGCGUAAAGGAUGCGUAGGUGGAUACUUAAGUGGGAUGUGAAAUCCCCGGGCUCAACCCGGGAACUGCAUUCCAAACUGGGUAUCUAGAGUGCAGGAGAGGAAAGCGGAAUUCCUAGUGUAGCGGUGAAAUGCGUAGAUAUUAGGAGGAACACCAGUGGCGAAGGCGGCUUUCUGGACUGUAACUGACACUGAGGCAUGAAAGCGUGGGUAGCAAACAGGAUUAGAUACCCUGGUAGUCCACGCC
This 694-nucleotide ribosomal RNA is filed under the name uncultured bacterium. Its description in RNAcentral is "bacterial SSU rRNA". It matches the Rfam family "Bacterial small subunit ribosomal RNA", at positions 94 to 801 of the family's 1533-position model. The record is from RNAcentral.